CGCUGGUUGGCUGCGGUUCGAUGAGGUGAGGGAGACCGGCUACUCCAUCCCCGUGUCCCCUCGAUCCUCUUCGUGCUCCCAUUCGUUCCUGGCAGGAACCCUAGCCGCCGCCCCAUCCCCGCGUACCUAGCUCCAGCCCUCUCGCCGACGGCGCCGUCCGCGUCCGCGCGCCUCUGCCCUCCCCUUCCUUCUCCGCACUGGCCGCCUCCAUCUUCUCUCUGUCACCGUCUGACCCAGAUGCGGCCGCGGUCCGCUGCCGCCUUAGGCGGAGGAGAGUAGAGACGCGGCUAGGAGGAGCACGAGCCACCGCCACCACCUACCUGACGACGACCAGAGACGGACGGCGUCGCCGGCGGCGUGAACCCACGCGAGCCCAACAGGGUGUGCGCGUGCCUCCGCGGGUUCGCGCCGCGGUCGCCGGAGGCGUGGGCUCCGCCUCCGCGGGUCAACCGCGUCAGGUGCGUCGGCUCCGCGCCGCUCGACUGCCGCAACGGCAAGCUGCAAGGUCCCCGUCACGACGGCCGCCGUGGUAGACUUCCGUGCCAUCCUCGCGGACUGCACGCCGAGGUGCCUGCGUGGCUGCUCGUGCACGGCGUACGCUAGCGCCAAGCCCAGCGGCGCGGCAUGGACCAGCACACUCGAGGAUCUCCGCGCUUUCCUCAACUUCAACCGGGACUUUAUGUGUGUCUUGCCGCUGCAGAUCUUGGAGGAUAGCUUGGUGCUCCCGCAAGCAAUUUGGGCUUCUAUCUUGAUCGUUACUCUGUUCCAUACACUAAGAAGCGUGAAGUGUGCCGGUUGCCACUCGCGUUGCUGCUCUCCCUGGAGGCGUCGUCAUCGACUGGAGGAGUGUCGAAUCAUCGUCCUUGAGUUCAUGCACUUCAGGAAGAAGACGGCCUGAGGUGAGACGUCACGCAUCCGUCAUGCGAAGCUAGAGCUUGACAUAUAGGUCAGUGUGUGUGUGCAGCAGCUCCAGAGGGACCAACGUCGAGGUAGCCACUGCUCCUGUCUAGGCUAGCCCGUCGUAGGUACGUAUCAGGUCCCUAGACCCUUAUGAGCCCUAAUUUUCAUGAAGCAAGGUGCAGCCUGCUGCUUUUGCUUUUGGUAAAAAGGAAUCCCUAUUGUUAUGAUGAUAGCCUCUUUGCAAGUUUAUUCUGCCUUUUUGACAUUUUUUUUCUAUCUUGCUAUGCAUUGUAUCAUAUUACAGUUGCGUGCUCAAACCAACUAAGCUUAAUUCACGUAUAUAGAUAUUUAAGAAUGUGGGAUGAUGCCCAAUUGGAAAGGUUUGCAAUAUUGUAGGAAUCAUUUGGAGAUGGGUUGUAGAUAUUAAGCUAUGAAGGAGAUGAUUUUGAGGUAACAAGCCUUCAGCUUGCUUUCUGUUAACCUUUUUAUGCAUGGGUUCGAUUUGAUGCAAUCUAGGCAUUGUUUGUUGUCGAAUGGAUUAUUUUUUCCUUCUAGGUAACAUCUGAUACUUAGAAUGCAUUAUUUCUGAUGGCCCAGAAAAAACUCUGUGUGCAUAUUGUUCUGUUUAGAUGCAUACAAGAUGCAUGUUUGUGCCUCAUACCUGCUGAUUUGUAUGACUGAGGAACUCUCUUUCUUCCUAGAUGUGGCCAUAUGCUCUUCACUGAUAUAUCAUCUCCUUACUCUUGUAUAUUAUUCACAUAUAGCAUCUCAUUUCUUGGUUGAUUGCUUAUAUAUAUUCAACUUCUGUUUCCUGGCAUUCAUAUAUUACAAGCUAAAUAAAGUUUGCCAUUCCUUUUGGCCAUUUAUAGUUGUAACUAGAAGCAUGGAUGAUCUGUGAUGCUGGCAAUUGUCAGAUUGCACCCAUUUAAUUAUAGCACAAUAUAUCACAUUUGUGGUAAAUUUAGCUAAGCUUGUGCCUACCCUUUUAGUAGUCAAUAUGGUUCAGAUCCAGUAUUUUUUAUUUCCUUUUCUUUUUUUGCUUUCAGCACACAUAUGGCAUUAAAGUUCUUUAUCAUGUAUGUAGGCAAAGUAGUUGUGUCACUUACUGAUGCUCUUAUGGUACACAGUACACUAUUAAGCUGUUGGGCCCAGAAACAGGAAGAGUAAUCCUCUUCCAAGGUUAAUUUUGUGCCUACUUCUUUAUGUACAUAACUCAUGAUUUGACAAAUAGUUAAGUUCCCUAUAUUUAUUUAUUUCUUUCUCUUUCGCUUUCUCUUUCCUAUUUAUGGUUCUGGAACAAAACUGCUAUCCUUUUCUACAAAUUGGAACAGAAAAUAAUGUUGACAAAUGAUUAUAACGGCUUAUUUAUUUUCUUGGUGUUAGAUUACUAAUGUGGAGAACUAUAAUUUUUAUUGAUGGUCGCUUGAUGGCGCUCAUUAGAAUUCAUAUAUGAAUCAAUAUAUUCUUCCACUCUAAUUAGCAUGUUUGGUCUAUUUAAUUUCAAACAUAUCUAUUAUUCACCAAGGCGACUGCCUAAUUUCAUAUGUGUUCAUAUGCAGAAGGUAAAGAUCGUCUAUUAUCGGCGGUUAUUUUACUUAGUUGUAGAUACUACUGAAUAGUUUGCUUAAAAUUUUGAUAGUUUAAAAGAAGUAUUAUGGUGUAGUGCAGUAAUAAUUUUAUUUAAAAUUGCAGACCUUGCAUCAUAUUUUGCUUGUGUAUGUGGGCAGUGUGUUCAAGUUGAUCUGGAACAAUUUGAAGGGUUUCCUCGACACAAAAUCUUCAGCCAAGAGGCCCACUUGGAUCCAGCCUUUCCAAUCUGCAUGAAUCUUCCUAAUUCAGCAAGGCCUUCAAACCUCGAUGCUUCUAAAUUUGUGAGCUAAAUGCGUUGUGACCGGCAUACUCGCGCCAAGGCGCGUUUCCGAUCUAGUAGAAAACGCCCAGAGGAAGGGCAGCUAUUGUCUCAUGGGUUCCAAAGAAGAUGGACCUGUGCGCGUGCGAUUGAGAGGGACAACCAAUGGCAGAAAUCAGUACCAAGGCCCGGAAGCAAUCCCUUCAAAAGUCACACUCGGCACUGAAAGGCAAGAUUGACCCAAUUAAGCGUACCAGGAGGAAAUUUUUCAAGGCAAAUCAUGACUUUAUAGGUUAACAGUGUUCAGGCAAAUCACAUGAGACACAAACAACCACUCGAAGUGGUACAAUAGAGUCUCAACCAAUGCUCUCAUUUGGCAAACAUGUACGGCCAAUUUAAGUUGACUCAUGUGCAACAGAGUUUGCAUUACAUUUACAAACACUAGCUCACUGCUUAGAGAACCACAUUUUCAACUGAAAUUUAUUAUCUUCAAUUGCAGCAACAUAAGAUGAGGAGUGUGCCUUCCUCAUAUCCAUGGCUGUAGCUAGAAGUUCAGAGUCUAUCUCACACACCACUCUAAUUGCUCCCUCGAGACAUCUAAGUAUCCAACCCAACUGCGAGAAGUUUAGCACUCAAAAAUCGAACAGCAAGAGAGUGGAGCGCGUGAGAGCACAUCAAGUGUGCAUUCAUGAUUUCUCUAAAUGUAGCAUAAUACAACUACUCAUUUGCUAUACUUUUCCAUGGAUGGGUUCAGACAUUCAUGAAGAAGGCAUAUAAACCGGUUUAUUUGGAAAUC
Long non-coding RNA from Triticum aestivum (bread wheat), 3545 nucleotides. RefSeq lists it as uncharacterized. Lineage: Eukaryota; Viridiplantae; Streptophyta; Magnoliopsida; Poales; Poaceae. The record is from RefSeq and is a predicted model, not a curated record. The transcript is spliced from 6 exons.